UGGGGAAUAUUGGACAAUGGGCGAAAGCCUGAUCCAGCGACGCCGCGUGAGUGAAGAAGUAUUUCGGUAUGUAAAGCUCUAUCAGCAGGGAAGAAAAUGACGGUACCUGACUAAGAAGCCCCGGCUAACUACGUGCCAGCAGCCGCGGUAAUACGUAGGGGGCAAGCGUUAUCCGGAUUUACUGGGUGUAAAGGGAGCGUAGACGGUUAAGCAAGUCUGAAGUGAAAGCCCGGGGCUCAACCCCGUACUGCUUUGGAAACUGUUUGAACUUGUAGUGCAGGAGAGGUAAGUGGAAUUCCUAGUGUAGCGGUGAAAUGCGUAGAUAUUAGGAGGAACACCAGUGGCGAAGGCGGCUUACUGGACUGUAACUGACGUUGAGGCUCGAAAGCGUGGGGAGCAAACAGGAUUAGAUACC
Molecule: ribosomal RNA, 415 nt
Filed under: uncultured bacterium
Lineage: Bacteria
Description: bacterial SSU rRNA
Rfam family: Bacterial small subunit ribosomal RNA
Source: RNAcentral